AUGGCGUACAAGCUCGACCUGCCCGCGUCCAGUCGGGUGCACCCAGUCUUCCACGUCUUCCAGCUGAAGCCGUUCACACCAGACUAUACGCCGGUGUACGCGGAACUGCCGCGGGUGCCUGACCUGUCCUUGGCCGGCACGGCACCGACGCGCAUCCUGGAGCGACGGAUGAUGAAGAGGGGCAACGCACCGGUGGUGCAGAUCAAGGUGCAGUGGGGCGACAGUUCACCGCACGCAGUCACCUGGGAGGAUUUCGACGUGCUGCGCAAACGCUUUCCUGCCGCUGCAAUCUGGGAGGUUGACGACGCAAGCUCACAGGAGGAGGCUGGAUCGCAAGGAGGGGAGAAUGUCACGCCUGGCCACUUGGCCACCACUUGUCCAGCGUGA
This 387-nucleotide ribosomal RNA is filed under the name Triticum aestivum (bread wheat). Its description in RNAcentral is "partial small subunit ribosomal RNA". Lineage: Eukaryota; Viridiplantae; Streptophyta; Magnoliopsida; Poales; Poaceae. The record is from RNAcentral.